This 76-nucleotide transfer RNA is filed under the name compost metagenome. RNAcentral describes it as "tRNA-Phe". It matches the Rfam family "tRNA". Rfam says of the family: Transfer RNA (tRNA) molecules are approximately 80 nucleotides in length. Their secondary structure includes four short double-helical elements and three loops (D, anti-codon, and T loops). The record is from RNAcentral.
GCAUGAAUAGCUCAGCAGGUAGAGCACUUGAUUGAAGAUCAGGGUGUCGCUGGUUCGAUUCCAGCUUCAUGCACCA